GACGUAGGGCGCGAGCGUUGUCCGGAAUUAUUGGGCGUAAAGAGCUCGUAGGCGGUUUGUUGCGUCGGCUGUGAAAACCUGCGGCUUAACUGUGGGCUUGCAGUCGAUACGGGCAGACUUGAGUUCGGCAGGGGAGACUGGAAUUCCUGGUGUAGCGGUGAAAUGCGCAGAUAUCAGGAGGAACACCGGUGGCGAAGGCGGGUCUCUGGGCCGAUACUGACGCUGAGGAGCGAAAGCGUGGGGAGCGAACAGGA
Molecule: ribosomal RNA, 254 nt
Filed under: uncultured bacterium
Lineage: Bacteria
Description: partial 16S ribosomal RNA
Rfam family: Bacterial small subunit ribosomal RNA
Source: RNAcentral